This 253-nucleotide ribosomal RNA is filed under the name uncultured bacterium. RNAcentral's name for it is "partial 16S ribosomal RNA". It matches the Rfam family "Bacterial small subunit ribosomal RNA", at positions 524 to 776 of the family's 1533-position model. The record is from RNAcentral.
UACGUAGGGUGCAAGCGUUGUCCGGAAUUAUUGGGCGUAAAGAGUUCGUAGGCGGUUUAUUAAGUCUGGUGUUAAAGCCCGGAGCUCAACUCCGGCAUGGCAUCGGAAACUGGUAGACUUGAGUGUGGUAGAGGCAAGGGGAAUUCCCGGUGUAGCGGUGAAAUGCGUAGAUAUCAGGAGGAACACCGGUGGCGAAGGCGGGUCUCUGGGCCGAUACUGACGCUGAGGAGCGAAAGCGUGGGGAGCGAACAGG